RNAcentral lists this long non-coding RNA (1107 nucleotides) under Equus asinus (donkey). RNAcentral describes it as "lncRNA (ENSEASG00005028852.1)". Lineage: Eukaryota; Metazoa; Chordata; Mammalia; Perissodactyla; Equidae. The record is from RNAcentral.
UCUACUCUCCUCAUCCUUAAAGGCCUCAUUCAGUUGUUCUCUCCUCCAUGAAGAAUUCCCUGGCAAACUGGCCACCCCCCGUCCCUGUCAUUAUAUCAGUUAUCAUUAGUCUCUUACCACAUUUGGGAACAGCCUGUUCAGUGGGUAGGGGAACUGUUCAGUGGGUAGGGGAACAAAAACAUGGGCUUUGAUGCCAGAUUGCAUGGUGGAAUCUUGAUUUGGCCGAUCACCAGCUGUGUGGCCUUGGGCAAGGUAGUUAACCUCUCUGAGAUACAGUUUUCUUAUCUGCUAAGUGAGGAUAAAGCUCUUAUUACACAACUUGGGUUGUGUAAUUCCUCCCCAUGACCUCUCCUUAGAGAGGCCUUCUGCCACCACCCUCUAAGUCACUGGCCCCCUUCUGCUUUGUCUCACCUUCUGUUUAUUUUCUUCUAGGGCUUACCCCAAUCUGUGAUUUUCCUACUUUUGAUUUGGUUGUCAACUCCAUGAGGAUGGGUCUCUUGUCUCUGGGAUUAUGGGAGAUGAAUAGCCUUGAAAAGUGUUAGUCCCUGGCCUUGCCUCUUCCAUCUGCUCAUCUGGGAGCCCCUCAGGGCAGGGGCUGUGGCUUUUGCAUGUCUGCAUUCUUAGCACCCAGCACUGUGCCUGGUCCAGAGUGGGCCCUUAGUCUGUAUUUGCUGCCUGCCUCCCCAUCCUUGUUCUUCCCCCCUCUUUAUCUUCACAGCUCCCUGUGGUCUCUUGAUGGCUUCUAAUGUAUAUCAGGCUGAGCCUGGCCUCCCCCAGACUGGGAGCGUCCUGGGGGCAGGCCCCAGGUUUCUGCCACUUACUUUGCUUCUAAGCCCAAGACAGAAUUUUAAGUGGGAAUUUGGGGUACCUUUCUGGCUGUAGUAUUAGAGGCCUUGGCCAUGCCCUGAGCAUCGCCCUGGGUGGUAGGACAGUGACCUAGAAUGGUAUGAUCUAGCCUGAGAGACUUAGAGAGGGCCAGGAGGUCCCCCUGAUGCCCAGGUGCCCCUCUCAGGUGGGGGAGCCUGGGCUGUGAGUUUCCUGGGGUGAGUGGUGUCCACACGGUCUAAGGAAGCCUCAUUUGGUUCACAGGAAAAUUGGUCCCUGAAC